Molecule: non-coding RNA, 143 nt
Organism: Chiloscyllium plagiosum (whitespotted bambooshark)
Lineage: Eukaryota; Metazoa; Chordata; Chondrichthyes; Orectolobiformes; Hemiscylliidae
Source: RefSeq, a predicted model, not a curated record
CUUGGCCUCCAACUACAUGAGAGGUGUAGAAUAAGUGGGAGGCUUCAGCCGCCGGUGAAAUACCAUUACUCUUAUCGUUUUUUCACUUACCCGGUGAGGCGGGGAGGCGAGCCUUGAGGGGCUCUCGCUUCUGGUCGGAAGCG